GUGCCACAACAGUUCUGUGGCCUACCACUGAUUUGGAGCACAGACCUAGAGCGUACGCUCAGAGUGCCGCUGAGCGUCCAUGGGGCUGGAAGGGAGCCUCAGUCUCAUCCCUAAUGCUAUUCUCAGUGUUACCUCAUCUCUUUUAGGAUGUGUGUAAUGACUGCCCACCUGGCCCCCCGGGGCUCCCUGGAGUGCCAGGCUUCAAGGGCGAUAGAGGGGCCCAAGGACCUCCGGGCAGAGAUGGCCUGAAUGGGAAAAUGGGCGAUCCUGGACCCCGGGGUCUCCCAGGCCCCCCAGGGGUGGAUGGUCCAAAGGGCACUAAAGGAGACCGUGGGACAUCUGGAGAUGCUGGACCAAAAGGUGGACAGGUAAAAAAGUGUGCUUCCCAAGUAGUACAACUGGAAUAUGUGUCU
This 413-nucleotide long non-coding RNA is filed under the name Gopherus agassizii (Agassiz's desert tortoise). RNAcentral's name for it is "lncRNA (ENSGAGG00000013072.1)". Lineage: Eukaryota; Metazoa; Chordata; Testudines; Testudinidae. The record is from RNAcentral.